Molecule: long non-coding RNA, 480 nt
Organism: Oncorhynchus tshawytscha (Chinook salmon)
Lineage: Eukaryota; Metazoa; Chordata; Actinopteri; Salmoniformes; Salmonidae
Source: Ensembl
GGAGGCUAUAUACAGGGGUACCGGUACAGAGUCAAUGUGGAGGCUAUAUACAGGGGUACCGGUACAGAGUCAAUGUGGAGGCUAUAUACAGGGGUACCGGUACAGAGUCAAUGUGGAGGCUAUAUACAGGGGGAACCGGUACAGAGUCAAUGUGGAGGCUAUAUACAGGGGGACUGGUACAGAGUCAAUGUGGAGGCUAUAUACAGGGGGACUGGUACAGAGUCAAUGUGGAGGCUAUAUACAGGGGGGACUGGUACAGAGUCAAUGUGGAGGCUAUAUACAGGGGGUACCGGAACAGAGUCAAUGUGGAGGCUAUAUACAGAGGGUACCGGAACAGAGUCAAUGUGGAGGCUAUAUACAGGGUGUACCGGUACAGAGUCAUUGUGGAGGCUAUAUACAGGGUGUUACGGUACAGAGUCAAUGUGGAGGCUAUAUACAGGGGGUACCGGUACAGAGUCAAUGUGGAGGCUAUAUACAGGG